CGACUGGCGGCAUGCUUUACACAUGCAAGUCGAACGGCAGCACGGGUGCUUGCACUUGGUGGCGAGUGGCGGACGGGUGAGUAAUGCAUCGGAACGUGUCCUGAAGUGGGGGAUAACGCAUCGAAAGAUGUGCUAAUACCGCAUAUUCUCUGAGGAGGAAAGUAGGGGAUCGAAAGACCUUAUGCUUUUGGAGCGGCCGAUGUCUGAUUAGCUAGUUGGUAGGGUAAUGGCUUACCAAGGCGACGAUCAGUAGUUGGUCUGAGAGGACGACCAGCCACACUGGGACUGAGACACGGCCCAGACUCCUACGGGAGGCAGCAGUGGGGAAUUUUGGACAAUGGGCGCAAGCCUGAUCCAGCAAUGCCGCGUGAGUGAAGAAGGCCUUCGGGUUGUAAAGCUCUUUCAGUUGAGAAGAAAAAGUCGUGACUAAUAAUCAUGAUUCAUGACGGUAUCAACAGAAGAAGCACCGGCUAACUACGUG
This 481-nucleotide ribosomal RNA is filed under the name uncultured bacterium. RNAcentral describes it as "bacterial SSU rRNA". It matches the Rfam family "Bacterial small subunit ribosomal RNA", at positions 36 to 507 of the family's 1533-position model. The record is from RNAcentral.